This 1125-nucleotide ribosomal RNA is filed under the name Burkholderia sp. SD1875. RNAcentral's name for it is "bacterial SSU rRNA". It matches the Rfam family "Bacterial small subunit ribosomal RNA", at positions 96 to 1220 of the family's 1533-position model. Lineage: Bacteria; Pseudomonadati; Pseudomonadota; Betaproteobacteria; Burkholderiales; Burkholderiaceae. The record is from RNAcentral.
UGGCGAACGGGUGAGUAAUACAUCGGAACGUGUCCUGUAGUGGGGGAUAGCCCGGCGAAAGCCGGAUUAAUACCGCAUACGACCUAAGGGAGAAAGCGGGGGAUCUUCGGACCUCGCACUAUAGGGGCGGCCGAUGGCAGAUUAGCUAGUUGGUGGGGUAAAGGCCUACCAAGGCGACGAUCUGUAGCUGGUCUGAGAGGACGACCAGCCACACUGGGACUGAGACACGGCCCAGACUCCNACGGGAGGCAGCAGUGGGGAAUUUUGGACAAUGGGGGCAACCCUGAUCCAGCAAUGCCGCGUGUGUGAAGAAGGCCUUCGGGUUGUAAAGCACUUUUGUCCGGAAAGAAAAACUUCGUCCCUAAUUAUGGAUGGAGGAUGACGGUACCGGAAGAAUAAGCACCGGCUAACUACGUGCCAGCAGCCGCGGUAAUACGUAGGGUGCGAGCGUUAAUCGGAAUUACUGGGCGUAAAGCGUGCGCAGGCGGUUUGUUAAGACCGAUGUGAAAUCCCCGGGCUCAACCUGGGAACUGCAUUGGUGACUGGCAGGCUUUGAGUAUAGCAGAGGGGGGUAGAAUUCCACGUGUAGCAGUGAAAUGCGUAGAGAUGUGGAGGAAUACCGAUGGCGAAGGCAGCCCCCUGGGCCAAUACUGACGCUCAUGCACGAAAGCGUGGGGAGCAAACAGGAUUAGAUACCCUGGUAGUCCACGCCCUAAACGAUGUCAACUAGUUGUUGGGGAUUCAUUUCCUUAGUAACGUAGCUAACGCGUGAAGUUGACCGCCUGGGGAGUACGGUCGCAAGAUUAAAACUCAAAGGAAUUGACGGGGACCCGCACAAGCGGUGGAUGAUGUGGAUUAAUUCGAUGCAACGCGAAAAACCUUACCUACCCUUGACAUGGUCGGAACCCUGCUGAAAGGUGGGGGUGCUCGAAAGAGAACCGGCGCACAGGUGCUGCAUGGCUGUCGUCAGCUCGUGUCGUGAGAUGUUGGGUUAAGUCCCGCAACGAGCGCAACCCUUGUCCUUAGUUGCUACGCAAGAGCACUCUAAGGAGACUGCCGGUGACAAACCGGAGGAAGGUGGGGAUGACGUCAAGUCCUCAUGGCCCUUAUGGGUAGGGCUUCACA